This 810-nucleotide ribosomal RNA is filed under the name uncultured bacterium. Its description in RNAcentral is "bacterial SSU rRNA". It matches the Rfam family "Bacterial small subunit ribosomal RNA", at positions 681 to 1503 of the family's 1533-position model. The record is from RNAcentral.
GUGAAAUGCGUAGAUAUCCGGAGGAACACCAAAGGCGAAGGCACUGUCCUGGCUCUGACCUGACGCUGAGGGGCGAAAGCUAGGGGAGCGAACGGGAUUAGAUACCCCGGUAGUCCUAGCCGUAAACGAUGACCACUAGAUGUUCGGGGUAUCGACCCCCUGAGUAUCGAAGCCAACGCGAUAAGUGGUCCGCCUGGGGAGUACGGUCGCAAGAUUAAAACUCAAAGGAAUUGACGGGGACCCGCAUAAGCAGCGGAGCGUGUGGUUUAAUUCGAUGCAACGCGAAGAACCUUACCAGGAUUUGACAUGACCCUGACGAUGCUAGAGAUAGCACUUCCUUCGGGACAGGGUCACAGGUGCUGCAUGGCUGUCGUCAGCUCGUGCCGUGAGGUGUUGGGUUAAGUCCCGCAACGAGCGCAACCCUCGUGGGUAGUUGUAAUUUUCUACUCAGACUGCCGCGAUCAACGUGGAGGAAGGUGGGGAUGACGUCAAGUCAGCACGGCCCUUACAUCCUGGGCGACACACACGCUACAAUGGCACGGACUAUGAGUUGCGAACCCGCGAGGGGGAGCCAAUCUCCUCAAACCGUGUCUCAGUUCAGAUUGGAGGCUGCAACCCGCCUCUAUGAAGUUGGAGUUGCUAGUAACCGUAGGUCAGCACACUACGGUGAAUACGUUCCCGGGUCUUGUACACACCGCUCGUCACACCACGAAAGUCGGCAACCCCUGAAGCCGCUGGGCUAACCCGCAAGGGAGGCAAGCGUCGAGGGUGGGGUCGGUGAUGGGGGUGAAGUCGUAACAAGGUAACCGU